UACGGAGGGUGCAAGCGUUAUCCGGAUUUACUGGGUUUAAAGGGUGUGUAGGCGGACUUUUAAGUCAGGGGUGAAAUCCCGAGGCUCAACCUCGGAACUGCCUUUGAUACUAUUGGUCUUGAAUCUUGUUGAGGUGGGCGGAACGGGUCAUGUAGCGGUGAAAUGCAUAGAUAUGACCCGGAACACCGAUUGCGAAGGCAGCCCACUAAGCAAUGAUUGACGCUGAGGCACGAAAGCGUGGGGAUCAAACAGG
Molecule: ribosomal RNA, 253 nt
Filed under: uncultured bacterium
Lineage: Bacteria
Description: partial 16S ribosomal RNA
Rfam family: Bacterial small subunit ribosomal RNA
Source: RNAcentral